GCUCGUAUGGCGCAGUGGUAGCGCAGUAGAUUGCAAAUCUAUUGGUCCUUAGUUCGAACCUGAGUGCGAGCU
Transfer RNA from Hyphopichia burtonii NRRL Y-1933, 72 nucleotides. It matches the Rfam family "tRNA". From Rfam's summary of the family: Transfer RNA (tRNA) molecules are approximately 80 nucleotides in length. NCBI's taxonomy places the organism in Eukaryota, Fungi, Ascomycota, Pichiomycetes, Serinales, Debaryomycetaceae. The record is from Rfam.